RNAcentral lists this ribosomal RNA (442 nucleotides) under uncultured bacterium. RNAcentral describes it as "partial 16S ribosomal RNA". It matches the Rfam family "Bacterial small subunit ribosomal RNA", at positions 339 to 795 of the family's 1533-position model. The record is from RNAcentral.
CUACGGGAUGCACCAGUGGGGAAUAUUGGACAAUGGAGGCAACUCUGAUCCAGCAAUUUCGUGUGUGUGAUGAAGGUCUUCGGAUUGUAAAGCACUUUCAAUAGGGAAGAAACAAAUGACGGUACCUAUAGAAGAAGCACCGGCUAAUUACGUGCCAGCAGCCGCGGUAAGACGUAAGGUGCAAGCGUUAUCCGGAAUCACUGGGCGUAAAGGGCGUCUAGGCGGCAAUGCAAGCCAGGGGUGAAAAGUCUGGGCUCAACCGAGGCCUUGCCUUUGAAACUGCAUAGCUAGAGUACGGGAGAGGAGGGCGGAACUACAAGUGUAGCGGUGACAUGCGUAGAUAUUUGUAGGAAUGCCGAUGUCGAAGGAAGCUCUCUGGACCGAUACUGACGCUGAAGCGCGAAAGCUAGGGGAGCAAACAGGAUUAGAUACCCGCGUAGUC